GGACUACUGGGGUAUCUAAUCCCGUUCGCUCCCCUAGCUUUCGCACCCGAGCGUCGGUGACUCCCCAGGAUGGUGCCUUCGCCUUUGGUGUUCUUCCGGAUCUCUACGCAUUUCACCACUCCACCCGGAAUUCCCCAUCCCUCUGAAGCCCUCAAGUCUACCAGUUUCCGUAAGCCUGACACAGUUAAGCUGUGCCCUGUCCCUACAGACUAGAUAGACCGCCUGCGUGCGCUUUACGCCCAGUAACUCCGGACAACGCUCGCCUCCUACGUAUUACCGCGGCUGCUGGCAC
RNAcentral lists this ribosomal RNA (292 nucleotides) under uncultured bacterium. RNAcentral's name for it is "partial 16S ribosomal RNA". The record is from RNAcentral.